RNAcentral lists this ribosomal RNA (326 nucleotides) under Salmonella enterica subsp. enterica serovar Kentucky. RNAcentral's name for it is "partial 23S ribosomal RNA". It matches the Rfam family "Bacterial large subunit ribosomal RNA", at positions 1119 to 1362 of the family's 2925-position model. The record is from RNAcentral. Lineage: Bacteria; Pseudomonadati; Pseudomonadota; Gammaproteobacteria; Enterobacterales; Enterobacteriaceae.
UCAUUUAAAGAAAGCGUAAUAGCUCACUGGUCGAGUCGGCCUGCGCGGAAGAUGUAACGGGGCUAAACCAUGCACCGAAGCUGCGGCAGCGAACGUAUCACUUAAAGCGAUUCAGCGGGUUACGAUUGACGGAGCGAAGCGACGUCAAAGCGUAUACAAAGUCGAGUCGGUUUAAGGAUACGUUCGUUGGGUAGGGGAGCGUUCUGUAAGCCUGUGAAGGUGGCCUGUGAGGGUUGCUGGAGGUAUCAGAAGUGCGAAUGCUGACAUAAGUAACGAUAAAGCGGGUGAAAAGCCCGCUCGCCGGAAGACCAAGGGUUCCUGUCCAA